Homo sapiens (human) is the source of this 687-nucleotide long non-coding RNA. RefSeq lists it as uncharacterized. The record is from RefSeq and is a predicted model, not a curated record. Lineage: Eukaryota; Metazoa; Chordata; Mammalia; Primates; Hominidae. The transcript has 6 exons.
GCAGCUGCACCAUUUUGCAUUUCUACCAGCAAUGCAUGAGGGUUCCAUUUUAUCUGCGUCACUCUCAACACUUUGUGAAUGGCCAUCCAUAUUCUUCAGAGAAAUGUUUAUUCAAGACUGCUUCUCAGUUUUAAAUCAGGAAAUGACAUACCUCCAUCUAUUGUCCUGAAGAGCAGUCAGUGUUUUGAAUCUCUAUGAGGGUUGGCUUCUUCACCUGCUAGGGAUAUGGCUAUCAGCAAGAAAACACAUGUGGAAAGGCUCAGGCUGAUGGUGGGGGAAAGAGUUCAUCAGAAGGUGUUUGUAGCUUGGCUCCUUCUGAAGAUCCCAAGAUACCCAGAAGAACAAUACAAAGAGAAGAGUGGAUGGUCUGUAAAGAUGGAGAAAGAGAUUGGUCUUAUGCUGUCAUAAUCCAAGGAAUGCCAGGAGCCACCAAAAGAUGGAAAGGGCAAAAUGGGUUCUCCCCUAGAGACUUUGGAAGAAUCAUGGCCCUGCUGAUGCUUUGCUUUCAGACUUCUGGCCUCCAGAAUUGUGAGGUAAUAAUUUUGUUUUUAGUCAAGAAGUUUAUGGUAAUUUGUUAUGACAACCUUAGAAAUCUAACAUAGAUAGCAAGAUGUUCUAGUCAAGCUCUAGUAUUGGAACCCUGCCUCAAACCCAGCCAUCUGUGUUGUCCUCUGGAUAGCUGGCCUA